Long non-coding RNA from Cyprinus carpio carpio, 801 nucleotides. NCBI's taxonomy places the organism in Eukaryota, Metazoa, Chordata, Actinopteri, Cypriniformes, Cyprinidae. The record is from Ensembl.
GCAUUACACAGCGAAUGUUUAUUAUAGCCACAAAUUAUUUUAUAAAGCAUUAAAAUUUUUACAUAAACUUCAACCAAUGAUUCAAUGUUCUUUUUUUAUGUACAGUAUACAAUCUCCUUUAGCAGUAGAUGAAACAGAACUUAAAGUGAGAAUGGCAGAAGGAUGCUUUUGCACUCAUAUAGUCUAUAGUUUGGAUCUAGGUACCGGACACCCGAGAUCUUGACCGCUGCACUGGAAACACACACUAUGCAUGCUAGUUUGGCUCAUCUAGACUGAUUUCAGUGAAGAUCUCUUCUGCUGCUCCCUGCUCUCAUUACUGACAUUAUUGUUGUUUUCAUUUUGCGUCGUAUCGGUGGCUUCAGCUUCGGUCAAAUCGUUUAAAUCACCUCCAAGCAGAUUUAGGUACAGGUUAAAAUCCUCGUUCUUCAUGGGUGUACUCAAGCUCGAGUUUGAAGAGAAACUGUUCUCUUCUGGAACAUUCUGAUAAUCUUUAAGAUAACAGACGGGAAGAUUAUCAUCACUACUGAAUAUAACAAAGUGAGCUUUUACAACUCAUUCAUUUCCCUCUCAGUGAAGAUAUUACAGAUUGGAAAAAAGCAACCAUCAAGAGAAGACUUUAAAUUAUGAGCCUGUUUGAGAGCUUGCUUGAAAUAACAGAUGCAAUACUGCCAAAACAAUGUAAAAAUGCAUGCUGUUUGGAAAAUGCUUUACCGUUGUCAUUGGUGGGUGCUUGUUCAGUUUUCUCUCCACAAGACCCAUUUGCGAUGGGAUUAGUCUUCUCCUCUGUAGUCUUGUCCUCUU